This 391-nucleotide ribosomal RNA is filed under the name uncultured bacterium. Its description in RNAcentral is "bacterial SSU rRNA". It matches the Rfam family "Bacterial small subunit ribosomal RNA", at positions 29 to 411 of the family's 1533-position model. The record is from RNAcentral.
AACGAACGCUGGCGGCGCGCCUAAUACAUGCAAGUCGAGCGAGAAGACGUAGCAAUACGUUUGUAAAGCGGCGAACGGGUGAGGAAUACAUGGGUAACCUACCCUCGAGUGGGGAAGUAACUAGCCGAAGGUUAGCUAAUACCGCGUACGCUCCUUGGACUUCGGUUCAGGGAGGAAAGCGAUACCGCGGGUAUCGCGCUCUUGGAUGGGCUCAUGUCCUAUCAGCUUGUUGGUGAGGAACGGCUCACCAAGGCUUCGACGGGUAGCUGGUCUGAGAGGACGAUCAGCCACACUGGCACUGCGACACGGGCCAGACUCCUACGGGAGGCAGCAGUAAGGAAUAUUGCGCAAUGGGCGAAAGCCUGACGCAGCGACGCCGCGUGGGGGAGUG